This 253-nucleotide ribosomal RNA is filed under the name uncultured bacterium. RNAcentral's name for it is "partial 16S ribosomal RNA". It matches the Rfam family "Bacterial small subunit ribosomal RNA", at positions 524 to 776 of the family's 1533-position model. The record is from RNAcentral.
UACGAACUGUGCGAACGUUAUUCGGAAUCACUGGGCUUACAGGGUGCGUAGGCGGCCUUUCAAGUCAGGUGUGAAAUCCCCCAGCUCAACUGGGGAACUGCGCUUGAAACUGAAGGGCUCGAGUCAGCUAGAGGUACACGGAACUUCCGGUGGAGCGGUGAAAUGUGUUGAUAUCGGAAGGAACACCAGAGGCGAAAGCGGUGUACUGGGGCUGUUCUGACGCUGAGGCACGAAAGCCAGGGGAGCGAACGGG